Molecule: ribosomal RNA, 296 nt
Filed under: uncultured bacterium
Lineage: Bacteria
Description: partial 16S ribosomal RNA
Rfam family: Bacterial small subunit ribosomal RNA
Source: RNAcentral
GCCCCUACGGGAGGCAGCAGUGAGGAAUAUUGGUCAAUGGGCGGAAGCCUGAACCAGCCAAGUCGCGUGAGGGAAUAAGGCCCUACGGGUCGUAAACCUCUUUUGCCGGGGAGCAAGGGCCGGGACGAGUCCCGUUCCGGAGAGUACCCGGAGAAAAAGCAUCGGCUACCUCCGUGCCAGCAGCCGCGGUAAUACGGAGGAUGCGAGCGUUAUCCGGAUUUUUUGGGUUUAAAGGUGGCGUAGGCGGGCUUUUAAUUCAGCGGUAAAAAUUCGGGCCUCAACCCCGUCCGGCCGUU